GGCGGGAAAACGGAGACCCAGGGAGCCUGGGACACGGGCUUGGCCUGAGCACGCGCAGUUUAAGGGGCUCAUUGUACCCGCGGAGGGAAACUGAGGCCCAGGACAGCGGUCAGAAAGUGCGCUGCGGCGCUGGGACCCCACCCCGGGGGCUCCCCCGCCGGUGCCCCGUGUAGGGCAAAGGGGCCGCGGGGGAGGGGAGGGCGAACGGGCUUUCAUUCAUUAAUGCCACAAGCAGUGACUUAGCGCCUACUGUGUACACAGUACAGUGAGCAUGUAGUAGGCGCUGGUAACAGCCCAUCUUACCCUGGAGAGGGGGAGAUGAGGGAGGCCUCGCAGGCCCUCGGUAUGAAUCCUACCCAGCUUUGGGCUAGUUCCUUCGGGGGCCUCAGUUUCCCUGCCCUGUCAAAAAAUGAGGGGGUGUCGGAAGUGGCCCCUGGACCCCCUGCCCCGAACCUAGUGGAGAGAAGGUCCCGGGCCCCCCAGGAAUCCCCAGCGGGAGGAGCUCGGGUGGGCAGGGCCCCCCAGCUCCACGGGUUAUCUUGGGGAGCAUAGCGGUCCCCCAUUGCUCUGAGAAGCAGCUGGAGGCUUGUGGGCUUUGUUAAGGCUUUCGUUUACUGUCUUCCUUUCCUUCCAUCCCCAGGGCUGGGCAUACAGUAGGCCGUUAAUCAAUGCUUAUUGUUGUCUGGCCUGGAAGGCAGCCAGGGAUUCCAGGAGGUGGAGGUGGGGGAGGCGUGCGGAUCCAGCCUGGAGCUGGACCUGAGGAAAGGCUGGUGUGGUUUGUCCUUGGUUCUCCUCCGGGACCUUGGGGUCCAGGGGCCAGAUAUUCACCAGGAGGACUGGAGAUGGCCAGGAUGCAGUGGGAGCCCCAGGCCUUUUCAGGGUCUCACUGAGCGUGAGGCAGCCCCCUUUGGUGCAUAGCCCUCUUUAAGAAGAGAGUCCAGGGCCCGCCCCUUUAAUAAAAAAUGGCUGUGGGAGGGGAGCGCCCAGGACUGCGGUUCCAAAGAGAAACAGUUACUGCUGACGUUCACUCUGAGCUCCGAGGGACAAAAAGUAACCGCUUAGUGGUGCCUGGGUGCGGACCUGCUGUGGGCCGAGAGUGAAUGGGGUUUAAGGCUUGGCCUUUGAGAAAGAAGUCUAACUGGUAAACACCAAGGGAACGAGGCAGCUCUGGGCCAUCAAAAGACAAGAAAACCCAAGAGCCUUUGGGUGGGAAAGAUGCUGUUUUGAGGAUCUCCUAGCAGUCAGUGCCACUCUCAGCACAGCUGGAGGAUCUCAUAUCGAAAGAACCUGUGCUUUCCCCGGCAUAACU
Trichosurus vulpecula (common brushtail) is the source of this 1309-nucleotide long non-coding RNA. RefSeq lists it as uncharacterized. Lineage: Eukaryota; Metazoa; Chordata; Mammalia; Diprotodontia; Phalangeridae. The record is from RefSeq and is a predicted model, not a curated record. The transcript is spliced from 3 exons.